This 158-nucleotide ribosomal RNA is filed under the name Arrhenia discorosea. RNAcentral describes it as "5.8S ribosomal RNA". It matches the Rfam family "5.8S ribosomal RNA". Rfam says of the family: 5.8S ribosomal RNA (5.8S rRNA) is a component of the large subunit of the eukaryotic ribosome. It is transcribed by RNA polymerase I as part of the 45S precursor that also contains 18S and 28S rRNA. The record is from RNAcentral. Lineage: Eukaryota; Fungi; Basidiomycota; Agaricomycetes; Agaricales; Hygrophoraceae. RNAcentral also lists the same sequence under 2 other names.
CAACUUUCAACAACGGAUCUCUUGGCUCUCGCAUCGAUGAAGAACGCAGCGAAAUGCGAUAAGUAAUGUGAAUUGCAGAAUUCAGUGAAUCAUCGAAUCUUUGAACGCACCUUGCGCCCUUUGGUAUUCCGAGGGGCAUGCCUGUUUGAGUGUCAUUA